UACAGAGGAGCCAAGCGUUGUCCGGAUUGACUGGGCGUAAAGGGCGCGUAGGCGGCCCCUUAAGCGUGUGGUGAAAGCGCGGGGCUCAACCCCGCGUCGGCCAUGCGGACUGGGGGGCUGGAGCACGUCAGAGGCAGGCGGAAUUCCGGGUGUAGCGGUGGAAUGCGUAGAGAUCCGGAAGAACACCGGUGGCGAAGGCGGCAUCCUGGACCGACAUUGACGCUGAGGCGCGAAAGCCAGGGGAGCAAACGGG
RNAcentral lists this ribosomal RNA (253 nucleotides) under uncultured bacterium. Its description in RNAcentral is "partial 16S ribosomal RNA". It matches the Rfam family "Bacterial small subunit ribosomal RNA", at positions 524 to 776 of the family's 1533-position model. The record is from RNAcentral.